Molecule: transfer RNA, 72 nt
Filed under: human gut metagenome
Also listed under: 1 other name
Rfam family: tRNA
About the family: Transfer RNA (tRNA) molecules are approximately 80 nucleotides in length. Their secondary structure includes four short double-helical elements and three loops (D, anti-codon, and T loops).
Source: RNAcentral
GGGGCUUAGCUCAGUUGGUUAGAGCACCUGCCUUACAAGCAGGGGGUCACAGGUCCGAGUCCUGUAGUCCCC